RNAcentral lists this ribosomal RNA (207 nucleotides) under uncultured bacterium. RNAcentral's name for it is "partial 16S ribosomal RNA". It matches the Rfam family "Bacterial small subunit ribosomal RNA", at positions 568 to 774 of the family's 1533-position model. The record is from RNAcentral.
AGCGUAGACGGUGUGGCAAGUCUGAUGUGAAAGGCAUGGGCUCAACCUGUGGAUUGCAUUGGAAACUGUCAUGCUUGAGUGCCGGAGGGGUAAGCGGAAUUCCUAGUGUAGCGGUGAAAUGCGUAGAUAUUAGGAGGAACACCAGUGGCGAAGGCGGCUUACUGGACGGUAACUGACGUUGAGGCUCGAAAGCGUGGGGAGCAAACA